This 72-nucleotide transfer RNA is filed under the name Paludibacteraceae bacterium. RNAcentral describes it as "tRNA-Met". It matches the Rfam family "tRNA". Rfam says of the family: Transfer RNA (tRNA) molecules are approximately 80 nucleotides in length. RNAcentral also lists the same sequence under 3 other names. The record is from RNAcentral. Lineage: Bacteria; Pseudomonadati; Bacteroidota; Bacteroidia; Bacteroidales; Paludibacteraceae.
CGCGGAGUAGAGCAGUGGUAGCUCGUCAGGCCCAUAACCUGAAGGUCGGUGGUUCGAUCCCAUCCUCCGCAA